UAGGGGGUAGUAUAAACGGAAGUACUAAAAAUUUUGAAUUUUUGGGUAUAGGUUCGAUUCCUUUCUCUCUAG
This 72-nucleotide transfer RNA is filed under the name Diporiphora magna. RNAcentral describes it as "tRNA-Gln". It matches the Rfam family "tRNA". Rfam says of the family: Transfer RNA (tRNA) molecules are approximately 80 nucleotides in length. Their secondary structure includes four short double-helical elements and three loops (D, anti-codon, and T loops). Further hydrogen bonds mediate the characteristic L-shaped molecular structure. tRNAs have two regions of fundamental functional importance: the anti-codon, which is responsible for specific mRNA codon recognition, and the 3' end, to which the tRNAs corresponding amino acid is attached (by aminoacyl-tRNA synthetases). tRNAs cope with the degeneracy of the genetic code in two manners: having more than one tRNA (with a specific anti-codon) for a particular amino acid; and 'wobble' base-pairing, i.e. permitting non-standard base-pairing at the 3rd anti-codon position. The record is from RNAcentral. Lineage: Eukaryota; Metazoa; Chordata; Lepidosauria; Squamata; Agamidae.